Homo sapiens (human) is the source of this 4019-nucleotide long non-coding RNA. Ensembl annotates it as myocardial infarction associated transcript. Its record names the gene MIAT. The record is from Ensembl. NCBI's taxonomy places the organism in Eukaryota, Metazoa, Chordata, Mammalia, Primates, Hominidae.
AGCCCCAAAGCCCAUACCUUCCUUUGUACCCUCUAAGACGGUGUCAGCUAAAGGUCCCUUGAAACCUCCAUCACCUUAUUAAUAUCAUGACUCUAGGUCCACAGAACGAGGGGAAAGGGUCACUGUGGAUCAAGCCAGGCUCCUCUGAGCAGUCCAGGGUCUAUUUACAGAGAGCAGCAAGUUCCUGGGACAGAGGAGACAGAAGGGAAUUUCCAGGUUCUUCAGGACGUUCACAACCACACUGAGAAGCAUCUUUGCAGAUAAGUAUUUAAACUUACCAGCCCAUAGCCUACCAGCCUGCCCUCUUCUGGUCUGUGCAGGAAAGUGUAGUAUCCUAGAAUGCCAAAGUGGGAGGGGAAAUGGGUGAUGUAGCUCAUUCUCUUUUCUACCUCUAUGGAAGAAAGAAAGAGCCUGUCCCCAUUUUGUGGGGUCCCAGAAAGGGUGAUUUUCACACUUCACAUUUGGCGUUAGGGCUAGUAUUUCACAAACAUUACCGUCUGGAACUUUUGAAGGCUGAGUUAAAUGACUUCAUCUUGUGUACUUGUAGAACUGCUAUUAGAAGGAGGCUGGGGACUCCCUGAUGAUGUGAACCAGCCCUUCUCUUCUCAGUUUCAGCACUUUGUGAUCAUAUUUAUAAACCUUGGACAGGGCUCCUUGGCCUUAGAGUUAAGUGAAGAGUUAACACUGUGACUUUAGAUGCAUUUUUCUCAGUGUAAGUGUCUGAGCUCAUCUCCAGUUCUGGACUCGUGCCCCCACUCCCGGGUGCUGACAGCAAGCUCUGAAGAUAUGCUGAGAGAGCUCCCUGACUCUCCUGACUCAGGUCUGCCAGUUGAUGAAGACAGCACAGUUGUUACCAAAAACAAAACCUGGCAGAUGGUCCUAGGUCAGGAUUAGUGGUCAUUCUCUGGUCUUCUCCAGACUGGUGACACAGGGUGGUCUUAAAAGAGUCCUAGUCCAGCCUCUGGCUCCCCGAAUUUCCUCUGGUGCAUGGGGCAUCAGGAAAGGGCAGGGGAGAAGGAGGGGGAGCAGAAAAAUAACUGAGGCUGGGCAGAAGGGUCCCUUCCAUUUCCCAUCCAUUGCUUCAAACAAUGGGUGAUUACCGUGCACCUUGAGUGAAUGUCAAGGCAGGAAGGGUUCCAGGGCCACCCAGUGUGGCAGGAGCAGAGCUGGGAUCAGAAUUCUGGAUUCCUGACUCUCCGUUCAGCUGCUAUUCAGCUAUCACCAAGCUGCUGAGUUUGUCCUACUUUCUCCUGGGUCACAUUCUGCUGUUGUUGGGAAACAGGGAGUGAGUGAAGGGAACCUGGGAACCCUUCUCCCCUCACCUUUUAAGGAUGUUCUGGGGUGGAAUAAAGAGAGGUGGAGGGUGGGGUGCCUGGGCCCAGCCUCCCUGGCUCCUGGUCCUUCUUUCUUCAGCAGGGAGUUCUGGCAAGGCCUGGGCCUGGGGAGGGGGCCUGGGUGCAGUUUUCUCCUGCGGUGUGGUUGGCUCUUUUGUCUUCCAGGAUGGGCCUGUGGGGUCUGUGUGGGGAAGGAAGGAGCUGGGAGCCUGGGCUGCCUGUGUGUCGGCUGGAUGCUGCCAGGUGGCUCCAUCUGGGCCGCAUCUCCAGGACUCCUGGCCUGGACUUCUCUUUGGACCUCGGGUGACCUUGGAUUCUGGCCACAGUGACUUAGCGGUCAGACUCCGGUGGUUUUCUAGCCCGCUGGGUGACUCCCUGAAGAUCUCAUCCUCUUCACACCUGUUGGGAUGGAGCCUCCCAUGGAUAGGAACUCUUCCUGGUUGAUGCUCAGCAGAUGACUGAUCUGGCUCUGGAGGACAGCUCCAGGGGUAUGAGGGAGGCCUGGCAGCCCACUACUCCCUCCUCACCUGCUCGGGCCCUGCCUGCUGGGCCCUAUUGUCUGGGUCUGGGGGCCCUUUCCUGCCCCAUGUGAACUUGAUUCCUCCUCGCGUUUCUGCCGGUGACCAGACAGAGCCUGGCCUGGGCCAAGUCCCCACUGACCACACUUUCCCCAAGGCUGGGUCUCAAAGGACCCUACAGGAUGGGGACAGGAACAAGGAUGGGAGUCGGGGAGGGGCUGUCAGGCAGAGGGCAGAUGCAGCUCCUCGGGUGCCGCUGGCUGGAGUCCUUUGUCUCCAUUUGCUCAGUGCGUAAUUGUCAUUUUGUGGGGGACUUCCUUGGUGGGGCUUUUCCAUGCUUUUCCUCUCCCUGAUGGUUACAAAGAGGAGACAGUCAGGAUCUGGGAGGAGCUGGAGCCUUCCCCCUGUGCUGUUGAACUCUGGGAGGGGCAGCCAGAGGGGCUGAGAGUGCACCAUCCUGAAAAGAGAGGGUCUUUAAGAGAUAAGAUUUAGGCUAGGGAAAUUCACUAGAAAGAGACAGGUGGCCCUGGGUUUUUUUUCCUGCCAUCCAAAGGGAACCAGUCUUACCCAAAGGCUUAAGGGGUCACCUUAGCCCAGUCUCAGGACACUCUUCUCCAAUCAGAUCGCUGCUUCUAGUUGCACUGCUCCUGGAUUCUGUUCUUGGGGAACAGAAGGUGGCAGGACAGGCCCCACAAUCUGCAAUUCCAGCUCCCUCCAGAGGAGACAGUCCCAGCGUUUGCAAGAGAGCAGCUUGUGGCCUCCCUUAGGCAAGUUUAAAAGCCAGAUGUCCUUUUUCCCAGAAUGCGGAGUGGUGUGUACUAUUCAUCAGCUUGGGCUGCCACAGCACCAUGCCAGACUGGAUGGCUUAAACAUCAGGAAUUUAUUUUCUGCCAGUUCUGGAGGCUGGAAAGUCCAGAUCAAGGUGUUAAGACUUGGUUUCUGGUGAGGCCUCUCUCCUUGGCUUGCAGGUGGCACCUUCUCACUAUGUCCUCACAUGGCCUUUUCUCUGUGGAGAGGGACAGAGAGCAUGAGCAGGCUCUGGUGUCUCCUCCUCUUCUUAUAAAGACACUAAUAUCACCAUAUUAGGGCUUAAACCUAUGACCUCAUUUAACCUUAACCCCUUAAAGGUCCCAUCUCCAAAAACAGUCACAUAGCAGGCUACUGCUUCAACAUAUGCAUUUGGGGGAGGGGACACCAUUCAGUUCUUAACAGGGUGGUCACCGCAAACAUGGAAAGUCAGAGCCUUCUCCCCUUCAGAAUUCCCGCCCCCACCCAGGGAUGGGGAGGAGGAGCAGAGAGGUAUGGGAAGCAGACACGGAGAGUGGCAGGUACCAUGCUGGGGUGGCUCAGGAGUGCUUCGGAGGACAUAUGGAACUGGCAGGGCUCAGUGCAGGGAGGCGGAGGCCCUGGGAGAGCCGUGUCCUGAGAAGGGCCUGGGCUACAACCCUGGGCAAGUUACUUCACCUCUGAGCCUCCGAUGCUCUGUGAAAUGGAAGGAAUGUGCUUGCCUGUCAGGUGCAGGGAGAAUUCAGUGAGAUUGUGUGCCUAGCACAGUGCCUGACUCCCAGUAGGUGCUCAGCAAAUGCUCCCAUCCAUCUGGGAGUAUAGACUUAGGGUUUAUCUAUUUUUUUUUUUUUUUGGCUCUCUGGACUUUAAAACUCAGCAUCUUCUGAACCAGAGGCAUUUCUGAUUAGCCCUUCCCUACCUAUUUUCCUAGUAUCACUCUUUAAUCAGCUUGGGGAGGUGGCAGCAUUUCAUGGCCUCCGUAGUAACUCACAAUGCUUCCUGGGGUAUUUAAAUUCUACUCUCUCAUCAGCACUGAGCACCUACUUUGGGCCCUUUCCCGUGCUAGCCAUUUGGGGGAAAUAUAGGUGAAGAGUGGCUGGGGUUUGAACCUUUAGGAUUUCACAGCCAUGCUGGAUGGGAUAAAACCAGCUCACAUGGAGAAUCAGAGAAUGGGACAGUGCCACAAAACAGUCUACUGAGGCACAAGUUCUGAGUGCCUGGGAAGUGGUAGAGAGACCCCAGAGAGGGCUGCUGCAGUCUGGAACAGCUUCCUAGCAAGCUGUACCAAACAGGGCCUUGAAGGAUGAGAAAGAUCUGGCUGAGAUGAUACCCGACCCUCUAGGGAAAUUCUUAAAGUAACUUCUAGGAAAUGUCAUUGCUC